UGAAGUUGCGACGCAGCUCUGUGGCCUCUCUUCUGCAGCUCUCUGCUGAGUCCUGAGUCUGGUUCAGGCGGCGUUCAGUCUCCAACAAGUCACGCCUCAACUGGUCUCGGCUCUCCUCGGCAGCUGAGAGGGCGGCUCUGCACUGCUCCAGCUGGAGGGCGAAAAUCAACGGAGGAGCAAAUCAAACGAGCUGCUCUCGGCGAGAUUCCACCUGAACAAGCUGCUGCUGCACUUCGAACAGGCUGGUUUCCAGGGACUCGCGCUCCGACCUGCAGAUGCCGUCAGCUGAACCACGAGAGCUGCUUUGUCUCGGGCCAGUUCUGCCUGACUGCGGCCGGCCUCCUCCAAGGCCACCUCGUUCCUCUGGCCCUCUCCUCUAGCAAGACUUACCUCGGAACUCAGAGAGGUCACCUCACCACAAAGCUGUCAACAAAAGACAAAAAAUCAAAGCGCAGAGCAGACAGCGUCGCCUCCGGGAGAGGAAACAGCGAGCAGUGUCGAGUGGGGGAGGACGGCCUCCGAGGAAAAGAGUCACGGAUCAGAGGUCCCAAAUUGUCCUGAUCCGCUUCUGACGAUGACUCUCCGUCUGCUGAAAGUGUCUGUGAAUGCAGGUUAAAAUGAAGCAUCUCCAUCUGGCAUCCUACUGAAGAGUCUGCUGUUGCAAAAAUAUGUGUGUUGUUUACCUGAGCAAUGUCCCGCAGUGUGUCAAACAGUGUCUCAGUGUGAGUUCUCAUCACCUGUAUGUCAGUCUCAUCAUUGUCGCUCUGCUCCUGAAGGGAAAUGUAUGCAUGAAGCGCAUAAAGCACAGGAAACUGACCAAAAAUGAAACUAUUUUGACCUUCGUGAUUGGUGUCUCACCUCGAGCUUCCUCGUUAGUGUCACAAUUUCUCCAUCCCGCUCUUCAAUUUGGCCCUUCAGUCUCUCCACUUCUCGCACCAAAUCU
Archocentrus centrarchus (flier cichlid) is the source of this 943-nucleotide long non-coding RNA. RefSeq lists it as uncharacterized. The record is from RefSeq and is a predicted model, not a curated record. NCBI's taxonomy places the organism in Eukaryota, Metazoa, Chordata, Actinopteri, Cichliformes, Cichlidae. The transcript has 4 exons.